CAAAGGCUUGGUCCUGACCUUACUGUCAACUAUAACUGAACUUACACAUGCAAGUCUCCGCACCCCUGUGAGAAUGCCCUCAUAUUCCUGCCCGGAAGAGAGGAGAUGGUAUCAGGCACAAUACGUAUUAGCCGACGACACCUUGCACAGCCACGCCCCCAAGGGUAAUCAGCAGUGAUAAACAUUAAGCUAUAAGUGAAAACUUGACUUAGUUAAAGUUAUUAGGGCCGGUAAAUCUCGUGCCAGCUACCGCGGUUACACGGGGGAGCCCAAGUUGAUAGCCUACGGCGUAAAGGGUGGUUAAGAGAACAACAUAAACUAAAGUCGAAUGCCCCCAAGGCCGUUGUACGCAUACGGGGGUGCGAAGCACAACUACGAAAGUGACUUUAAAUACACUGAGCCCACGAAAACUAAGGCACAAACUGGGAUUAGAUACCCCACUAUGCUUGGUUGUAAACAAAGAUAGCGUAAUACUACACUAUCCGCCCGGGUACUACGAGCACCAGCUUGAAACCCAAAGGACUUGGCGGUGCUUCAGACCCACCUAGAGGAGCCUGUUCUAGAACCGAUAAUCCCCGUUCAACCUCACCCCUCCUUGCAAUUUCAGCCUAUAUACCUCCGUCGCCAGCCUACCCCCUGAGAGUUUAAUAGUAGGCUCAAUUGGCACAGCCCAGUACGUCAGGUCGAGGUGUAGCCUAUGUAGGGGGAAGAAAUGGGCUACAUUUUCUUAUCAAGAAAACACGGACUGAGGGAUGAAAUGCCCUCUCCAAGGCGGAUUUAGCAGUAAGAAGGAAAUAGAGUGUCCUGCUGAAACUGGCUCUGAAGCGCGCACACACCGCCCGUCACUCUCCCCUAGACACCUAUAAAAACGUACCUAACAAGCUAAACAUGUAGCAGGGGAGACAAGUCGUAACAUGGUAAGUGUACCGGAAGGUGUACUUGGACAAACCC
This 951-nucleotide non-coding RNA is filed under the name Sirembo imberbis (golden cusk). RNAcentral's name for it is "12S rRNA". It matches the Rfam family "Bacterial small subunit ribosomal RNA". Lineage: Eukaryota; Metazoa; Chordata; Actinopteri; Ophidiiformes; Ophidiidae. The record is from RNAcentral.